UCAACAUUGCAGAAAUUGCAACGAGAGAGCCCUGAGUCAUGACCCGACUCCGAGCUUUUCAAAUACCAGGCCAGGGAGACAAACAUACACACAGAGUUUCCAUGCUGCUGUGUUCUAGGUUUCCAAGGUGACAAAAGUUCUUGCAGAAUAAACAAGUGAAUCCCCAGUUCCUGGAAACCAGGCCGUGGAGAUCUGAAAACCUGUUCAUGUUUUGAGUGGGAGGGGUUUCCUGUUUGCCUGGGACACUUGCUUGUGUCAUCCUGCUUUGAGCUGGGGCAGGACAGAGGCCCUGAAAAGAGGGACCUUCCUUCCCUGCCCCUUGGACAACAUCAUUCAACACUGCAACUUCUGGUGGACAGGAAGCUCACCAUUCCUCAGUCAGAGCAAAAGCCUGAAAAGAGAGGCCUGUGAAGGGGCUGAUACAAUGAACUCCCAAAUCCGCUCAAGCAUGAUGUGGUAAAGGCAAUAAACUGGUGUCAAGCCCUGUCAACCAGGCUCCCAGGCCUGACUCUGCCGGGAGGGAUUAUGAAGGAGUCAGUCACCCAGUGAAUCAUGGGAAAGCUGUCUCCAGAGCCCCAGCCAACCCACCCAGCUGACAUAAGUCUGCCUUUCUGCUUCCCUUUCUCCCUCUACCACUGACUAAAAAUAAAA
This is a non-coding RNA of Heterocephalus glaber (naked mole-rat), 651 nucleotides long. The record is from RefSeq and is a predicted model, not a curated record. NCBI's taxonomy places the organism in Eukaryota, Metazoa, Chordata, Mammalia, Rodentia, Bathyergidae.